RNAcentral lists this long non-coding RNA (530 nucleotides) under Marmota monax (woodchuck). The record is from RNAcentral. Lineage: Eukaryota; Metazoa; Chordata; Mammalia; Rodentia; Sciuridae.
UUUUAAUAUUGUUUUCAGACAGAAGGGCUGGGGCAAUUAUAUACAGUAAUCUGUGAGUGAAUGAAGAUAUUUGUAUAGUACCAUAGCUCUGCUUAUUUCAUACAAUGCAAUGGCUGAGUGCAGCCAAAAUGAUGGUGAUGGCAGAGAAUUGAACAAAUUUGAGCAUUUCAGAUUUCCCAGAUAGCUGCAGGCUGGGCCCAGGGAGACUGUACUUGCAUGAGGCAGGGGUGACUCCACAGUGCAUGUUCCAGCCAGAUAGAGUUGGCUUCCUGCCCCAUGAGGAAGGCCUUGAUUUCAACCAAUAGCCUGAAAGGACAAAUGAGAGAGAAUGCCAGUGCCCCCACUGGCAGGGCCCUUUGUCCACAUUUGUCCACUCUGGUUCAAUGUCUCGGUGUACUCCCACAGCUAAGAUGUUAGGCCCAGAAAGCUAUGUGUUCUUGAACCAGCUUGAUUUUUAGUUAGCUGUACAGACUGGAUGGAUUGUUGUACUCCAUAAAUUGGAAUAGAAUUUUUCAGAUUGGCUUUAUUGC